Molecule: ribosomal RNA, 253 nt
Filed under: uncultured bacterium
Lineage: Bacteria
Description: partial 16S ribosomal RNA
Rfam family: Bacterial small subunit ribosomal RNA
Source: RNAcentral
CACGUAGGGCGCAAGCGUUGUCCGGAAUUAUUGGGCGUAAAGAGCUCGUAGGCGGUCUGUUGCGUCUGCUGUGAAAACUCGGGGCUUAACCCCGAGCCUGCAGUGGAUACGGGCAGACUAGAGGUAGGUAGGGGAGAAUGGAAUUCCCGGUGUAGCGGUGAAAUGCGCAGAUAUCGGGAAGAACACCUAUGGCGAAGGCAGCUCUCUGGGACGGUACUGACGCUGAGACGCGAAAGCGUGGGGAGCGAACAGG